Molecule: ribosomal RNA, 336 nt
Filed under: Strobilotoma typhaecornis
Lineage: Eukaryota; Metazoa; Arthropoda; Insecta; Hemiptera; Coreidae
Description: partial small subunit ribosomal RNA
Source: RNAcentral
GUCAAUAAAUGUCAAAUUUUUAGUUAAGAUUGAUUCUGUCUUAUUUAAUUGGCUAUAGUUUGAUAAUUUUAUAUACGAGUUUUUGCGUGAGGAAAUUUUGUCUUAAAGAUGAUUAAUUUUUAUUUGUAGUUUUUAAUUUUGUAGAUUUUGGAAACAUUGAUUCAGUUAAUUUAUUUUAGAAUUGUUUAAAGUUGUGCCAGCAUACGCGGUUACACAAUUAAUUCAGGUUAAUUUUUUUGGUUUGUAUUUAUUUUAUUUUUGGAGAUUCAAUUGAUUAUUUAUUGGGUGAAAUUUUAAUUUUAAUAAUAUUCUCUUGGUUUUAGAUUAUAUGAAAUA